This 301-nucleotide ribosomal RNA is filed under the name uncultured bacterium. RNAcentral describes it as "partial 16S ribosomal RNA". It matches the Rfam family "Bacterial small subunit ribosomal RNA", at positions 509 to 807 of the family's 1533-position model. The record is from RNAcentral.
CAGCCGCCGCGGGAAUACGAAGGGGGCUAGCGUUACUCGGAAUUACUGGGCGUAAAGGGCGCGUAGGCGGCGCUCCAAGUUAGGCGUGAAAGUCCUGGGCUCAACCUGGGAACUGCGCUUAAGACUGGAGUGCUUGAGGAUGGAAGAGGGUUGUGGAAUUCCCAGUGUAGAGGUGAAAUUCGUAGAUAUUGGGAAGAACACCGGUGGCGAAGGCGGCAACCUGGUCCAUUACUGACGCUGAGGCGCGACAGCGUGGGGAGCAAACAGGAUUAGAUACCCCCGUAGUCCCUGUCUCUUAUAC